This 396-nucleotide long non-coding RNA is filed under the name Penaeus japonicus. RNAcentral describes it as "uncharacterized LOC122264029". Lineage: Eukaryota; Metazoa; Arthropoda; Malacostraca; Decapoda; Penaeidae. The record is from RNAcentral.
GUUUGUAGCCUUUGUUUACCUCCAAGUGCUGCCAUCUGUUGGUGGACGAGAGAAGCAAUCAUGUCGGCCGUGGGAAGGAAAACACUAUCGCAGCUGUACCGCCAGGCUUGGGCAGAAAUUCCCGAGGUCAUGACAUCCUCCGUCAUGCUGCUUAUCGGUACUGGAUUUCUGACCGGCUCAGUAAUGCUUUACAACAGCAAAAAAGCCGAUAAUAAGAGAUACCGUUAUGUAUACACUGUGUAUCGUCCCGAUGAUCCACGUGUUUCAUCCAUCAAGGAGUAAGGGUAGCCCAGCUUCCCGAUGAACCAUUUGUAUAGUUAUAUAUUUAAAUCAUGUACACUAUUUACUAUUCUUUGUAAAAUGUAAAAAGUCCUUGGAAGUAAAGUGAUAUACGAG